This is a long non-coding RNA of Aedes albopictus (Asian tiger mosquito), 899 nucleotides long. RefSeq lists it as uncharacterized. NCBI's taxonomy places the organism in Eukaryota, Metazoa, Arthropoda, Insecta, Diptera, Culicidae. The transcript is spliced from 2 exons. The record is from RefSeq and is a predicted model, not a curated record.
UCAGUGCAAUAAAUUUCGUCGUUCUCCGAUUUCGCUUUCGAUUUCGCUGCCACUCUCUGUUGGCGGUCUUUAGCAAUUCGCCCGAUAUAAUGACAGAUUUCGCCGGCCGUCUCAAUGUUUACACAUUUUUCUCAUUGUUCUCGGUCCACCAGCUGAUCAUGUUUACACAACAAAAUUAGCUGGACAUCCGAUGUUUACGUUCAUCCUCAUUGUUCGGCGACCACCAGCUGAUCUUGUUGUCAUAACAAACCGCGCUAAUUUCUCCUGAAUCAUGGCUCGAAAGCGAAAAGCUGUCGGAGAUGACAGAUUUGUACGAUUUUGGGGCGAUUUCAAUUUCGUCGUGGAAGUCUGAUUAUUCGUAAAAAAUACAAUAUUGUAGCAGAAAAUAAAUCUUUGGAAUCAAAGGUGAUAAACAACCUUCACGGAAGAUUCUGCCAUACCGUUUGGGACCUCAAUUUAUAUUCGCGUGUACACCCAUCCAAUGACUCAUCGUUCCGGAGGCCGACAAUCGAUUCAUUCUGAUCCUCUUUGGAAGGAUGAAUCCCGCGGAUUAUCAAUGGAGUCGAACCGUCUACGUGAGAAGAAAUCCGUUUACGUAAAGAACGGGAAAAGUGUUUCUCAGACCGAUGAGGAUCCGCCCCACCGAAGAAAGGUCUUCCGUGAGCAUCAAUGUAGGUAGGUGGUAGUUGCUCCAGUAAUAUCACGGAAUUUGCGCUAACGGCCAGUAUAACCCGUGAGGCACAAUUACCGUCUGCAAAAUCCAGCGUUCGACAUCAGUUCGAUUAGAUUGGAGAUUCCGCCACAACCGUAUGGAAAGGUCUGUAUAUACUACGCGUUUCCAGAUGUAUUUUUGUGAAUAGUAUAAAAAUCAAUAAAUCAGAGAGCUUAAAAAAAUUGUA